This 493-nucleotide ribosomal RNA is filed under the name uncultured bacterium. RNAcentral describes it as "bacterial SSU rRNA". It matches the Rfam family "Bacterial small subunit ribosomal RNA", at positions 34 to 518 of the family's 1533-position model. The record is from RNAcentral.
CGCUGGCGGCGCGUUUAAGCAUGCAAGUCGAGCGGCAGGGGGCUUCGGCCCCGAGAGCGGCGGACGGGUGAGUAACACGUGGACAACCUGCCCCCCGGUUCGGGAUAGCCCAGGGAAACCUGGAUCAAUACCGGAUGCGAGGGCGGCCGCACAAGCGGCCGUCGGGAAAGGCGCUUCGGCGCCGCCGGGGGAUGGGUCCGCGUCCCAUUAGCUAGACGGUGGGGUAACGGCCCACCGUGGCGAUGAUGGGUAGCCGGCCUGAGAGGGUGGACGGCCACAUUGGAACUGAGACACGGUCCAGACUCCUACGGGAGGCAGCAGCUAAGAAUCUUCCGCAAUGGGCGAAAGCCUGACGGAGCCGACGCCGCGUGAACGAAGAAGGCCGUGAGGUUGUAAAGUUCUUUUCGGGAGGGGGAACAACCGUGGCAGGGAAUGGCCGCGGGAUGACGUGAAUCCCGGAAUAAGCCCCGGCUAACUACGUGCCAGCAGCGGC